GGCGCCGUGGCUUAGCUGGUUCAAGUGCCUUUCUUGUAAAGAGGAGAUCCUGCGUUCAAAUCCCAGCUGUGCCU
Non-coding RNA from Larimichthys crocea (large yellow croaker), 74 nucleotides. The record is from Rfam. NCBI's taxonomy places the organism in Eukaryota, Metazoa, Chordata, Actinopteri, Sciaenidae.